UGAUGAGAUUCACUAUUUUUUUUUUUAUUUCUUUAGAGAUAUGUUUUACUUUGUUUGAAUAGUGUUCCCUCUUAAGUCUAUUCCUACCACACCAUAUGAGAUGUGACAUAGUAAGAAAUUGAGUCUUGAUCAUCUCAGAAUUUAAGGAUAUUCGACCCAUGUCAAGUGCAAUAGGUGGAUAAGUUAGAGGUGAGGUGUAUGAGAGUUCAUUUCAUAGGAUAUCCUAAAGAGUCUUUGGGAUCC
Molecule: long non-coding RNA, 243 nt
Filed under: Elaeis guineensis (African oil palm)
Lineage: Eukaryota; Viridiplantae; Streptophyta; Magnoliopsida; Arecales; Arecaceae
Description: long non-coding RNA (EGUI_LNC048542)
Source: RNAcentral